UCUAGAACUCGAGAUAUGGACUGAACACUGAACAAUGUCUGGGCUGCAGGACAGAUUCUGACUUCUCUAUUGUUGCUACAAUUUGAACUUGAAAACGGUCCUUUUGAAUCUUUGACUCUUCAUGAAAGUUUUAGGCCUAUAUCUUAGGUUUCUAUC
Molecule: non-coding RNA, 156 nt
Organism: Populus trichocarpa (black cottonwood)
Lineage: Eukaryota; Viridiplantae; Streptophyta; Magnoliopsida; Malpighiales; Salicaceae
Source: Rfam